Molecule: ribosomal RNA, 2610 nt
Filed under: human gut metagenome
Description: bacterial LSU rRNA
Rfam family: Bacterial large subunit ribosomal RNA
Source: RNAcentral
GGUUGCUUGCAAGGGCGUAUGGUGGAUGCCUUGGCAGACAGUACCGAUGAAGGACGUUUGAGGCUGCGAUAUGCCUCGGGGAGCCGCCAGCAGGGCUUUGAUCCGAGGAUUUCCGAAUGGGGGAACCCGCCGGCCGUCAUGGGCCGGCACCGCGUUCGCGCGGGGGGUACGCAGGGAAGUGAAACAUCUCAGUACCUGCAGGAAAGGAUGUUCCGUGAGUAGUGGCGAGCGAAAGCGGAUCAGGCCAAACCGCGCGCGUGUGACAGGCGCCAGCCGUUGCGCGCGUGGUGUUGAGGGAGCGUGUGUCCGGGUCCUGGCGGGCCCGGCCGGAGUGAUAAAACGGCGUGUGAGGCGAACCGGAUUGAAUGCCGGGCCGCAGAGGGUGAUGGCCCCGUAGCCGAACGCGCGUCGUCUCCGGAUCGUGUCUCCCAAGUAGCGCGGGACUCGUGGAAUCCCGUGUGAAUCCGCCCCGACCGUGGGGUAAGCCUAGAUAUACCUGUCUGACCGAUAGCGAACUAGUACCGUGAGGGAAAGGUGAAAAGCACCCCGGGAGGGGAGUGAAACAGUCUCUGAAACCGUGCGCUUACAAACCGUCGGAGCCUUUCGGGGUGACGGCGUGCCUAUCGAAAAAUGAGUCUGCGAGUCAGUGGCACGUGGCGAGCGUAACCCGUGUGGGGUACGCGUAGCGAAGGCGAGUCUCAAAAGGCGUUUGAGUCGCGUGUCCUGGACCCGAAGCGGGAUGAUCUAGCCCUGAGCAGGUUGAAGCGCGGGUAAGACCGCGUGGAGGACCGAACCCACCUGGGUUGAAAACCGGGGGGAUGACUUGGGGCUAGGGGUGAAAGGCCAAUCAAAUUCCGUGAUAGCUGGUUCUCUCCGAAAUGCAUUUAGGUGCAGCGUCGGGGAUUACGUCCGGGGGGUAGAGCUACUGGAUGCUUGAGGGCCCGUAUCGGGUACCGACAGCAGCCAAACUCCGAAUACCCGUGACGCGUAUCCCGGCAGUGAGUCGGCGGGGGAUAAGCUCCGUCGUCGAAAGGGAGACAGCCCAGAUCGUCGUCUAAGGUCCCCAAGCGCGUGCUAAGUGGGAAAGGAUGUGGAGUCGCAUAGACAGCCAGGAGGUUGGCUCAGAAGCAGCCACCCUUGAAAGAGUGCGUAACAGCUCACUGGUCUAGUGGUUCCGCGCCGACAAUGUAGCGGGGCUCAAGCACGCCACCGAAGACGCGGCAGCGUCCGUUUGGAUGCUGGGUAGGAGAGCGUCCCCAUCGGGGCGAAGCGGCGGCGCAAGCCUGCCGUGGACCGUUGGGGAGUGAGAAUGCAGACAUGAGUAGCGAGAGGCGGGUGCGAAUCCCGCCCGCUGGAUGACCAAGGGUUCCGGGGCCACGUUCGUCGUCCCCGGGUGAGUCGGGUCCUAAGGCGAGGCCGACAGGCGUAGUCGAAUGGAUGAACGGGCUGAUAUUCCCGUACCGGCAGCGAACCGAAACAACCGAGGCCUGGGGCGCUAACCUCCGGGUCCGUGCCGUCUCCCCUUUCGGGGGGUCGCGGCGCGGGCGCGUUGGGAUCCCCCCUCGUAGUAGGUCAGCGCAGGAGUGACGCAUCAGGGCAGCCGGCCGCGGAGGUGGUUUUCCGUGGUCAAGCGUUCGAGCCCGUCCCGCAGGCAAAUCCGCGGGGCGUCGGGGCGAGGCGUGAUGAUGGGGGCCUUACGGCCCGAAUCCGGUGAUCCGUGGUGCCGAGAAAAGCUUCGGCGUCAGGCGCGUUGCCGCCCGUACCCCAAACCGACACUGGUGGUCAGGUAGAGAAUACCAAAGCGAUCGAGCGAAUCCUGGUCAAGGAACUCGGCAAAUUGCUCCCGUGCCUUCGGCAUAAGGGAGACCCCCUGCGGUGAUGAGCGGCGGGGGGUGGCACAGGCCAGGGGGUAGCGACUGUUUACCAAAAACACAGGAGCGUGCGAAGGCGCAAGCCGCUGUAUACGCUCUGACGCCUGCCCGGUGCCGGAAGGUUAAGAGGAUCCGUCAGCUUUCUGCGAAGCGGUGAAUUCAAGCCCCGGUAAACGGCGGUGGUAACUAUAACCAUCCUAAGGUAGCGAAAUUCCUUGUCGGGUAAGUUCCGACCUGCACGAAUGGCGUAACGACUUCCCCACUGUCUCGACCAGGAGCUCGGCGAAAUUGCAGUACGAGUAAAGAUGCUCGUUAAGCGCAGAAGGACGAAAAGACCCCGGGACCUUUACUAUACCUUGGUAUUGGCAUUCGGUGUGGAUUGUGUAGCAUAGGCGGGAGGCCGAGAGGCGCGGUCGCCAGAUCGCGCGGAGCCGUAAGGUGAAAUACCGCUCUGUUCGCAUUGGAUGUCUAACCUCGAACAGUCAUCCUGUUCAGGGACAGUGCCUGGCGGGUAGUUUAACUGGGGCGGUUGCCUCCCAAAGAGUAACGGAGGCGCCCAAAGGUCCGCUCAGCCCGGUUGGCAAUCGGGUGGCGAGUGCAAGUGCACAAGCGGGCUUGACUGCGAGGACGACGGUCCGAGCAGGGACGAAAGUCGGGACUAGUGAUCCGGUGCCGGUGUACGGACGCGGCAUCGCUCAACGGAUAAAAGGUACCCCGGGGAUAACAGGCUGAUCAUUCC